UACAGAGGGGGCAAGCGUUGUUCGGAAUUACUGGGCGUAAAGGGCGCGUAGGUGGCCUUCUAAGUCGAACGUGAAAUCCCUGGGCUCAACCCAGGAACUGCGUCCGAGACUGGGAGGCUUGAAUCCGGGAGAGGGAUGCGGAAUUCCAGGUGUAGCGGUGAAAUGCGUAGAUAUCUGGAGGAACACCUGAGGUGAAGACGGGUUGCUGGGCCAACACUGACGCUGAUGCGCGAAAGCCAGGGGAGCAAACGGG
Molecule: ribosomal RNA, 253 nt
Filed under: uncultured bacterium
Lineage: Bacteria
Description: partial 16S ribosomal RNA
Rfam family: Bacterial small subunit ribosomal RNA
Source: RNAcentral